UACGUAGGGGGCUAGCGUUGUCCGGAAUCAUUGGGCGUAAAGAGCGUGUAGGCGGCUUGGUAAGUCCGCUGUGAAAGUCCAGGGCUCAACCCUGGAAAGCCAGUGGAAACUGUCAAGCUAGAGUCCGGAAGAGGCGAGUGGAACUCCUGGUGUAGCGGUGAAAUGCGCAGAUAUCAGGAGGAACACCAAUUGCGAAGGCAGCUCGCUGGGACGUUACUGACGCUGAGACGCGAAAGCGUGGGGAGCAAACAGG
RNAcentral lists this ribosomal RNA (253 nucleotides) under uncultured bacterium. RNAcentral describes it as "partial 16S ribosomal RNA". It matches the Rfam family "Bacterial small subunit ribosomal RNA", at positions 524 to 776 of the family's 1533-position model. The record is from RNAcentral.